RNAcentral lists this transfer RNA (84 nucleotides) under Xanthomonas arboricola. RNAcentral describes it as "tRNA-OTHER". Lineage: Bacteria; Pseudomonadati; Pseudomonadota; Gammaproteobacteria; Lysobacterales; Lysobacteraceae. The record is from RNAcentral.
GCCUUGUGCUGCUUGGGUCUUAGUCUAGCGACGUUGUCCCUCCUAAGGGGAAGGUCGCCCGUUCGAAUCGGGCCGGGGUCACCA